GAUGAACGCUAGCGGCAGGCCUAACACAUGCAAGUCGAGGGGUAGAACACUUCGGUGUUUGAGACCGGCGCACGGGUGCGUAACGCGUAUGCAAUCUACCUUGUACAGGGGAAUAGCCCAGAGAAAUUUGGAUUAAUGCCCCAUAGUAUAUAACCUUCGCAUGUUGGUUAUAUUAAAGUUCCAACGGUACAAGAUGAGCAUGCGUUCCAUUAGUUAGUAGGUAAGGUAACGGCUUACCAAGACGAUGAUGGGUAGGGGUCCUGAGAGGGAGAUCCCCCACACUGGUACUGAGACACGGACCAGACUCCUACGGGAGGCAGCAGUGAGGAAUAUUGGUCAAUGGUCGCAAGACUGAACCAGCCAUGCCGCGUGCAGGAAGACGGUCCUAUGGAUUGUAAACUGCUUUUAUACAGGAAGAAACCCUCCCACGUGUGGGAGCUUGACGGUACUGUAGGAAUAAGGAUCGGCUAACUCCGUGCCAGCAGCCGCGGUAAAGUCUGUACUCC
This 506-nucleotide ribosomal RNA is filed under the name uncultured bacterium. Its description in RNAcentral is "bacterial SSU rRNA". It matches the Rfam family "Bacterial small subunit ribosomal RNA", at positions 28 to 535 of the family's 1533-position model. The record is from RNAcentral.